RNAcentral lists this ribosomal RNA (1189 nucleotides) under Bacillus pumilus. RNAcentral's name for it is "bacterial SSU rRNA". It matches the Rfam family "Bacterial small subunit ribosomal RNA", at positions 355 to 1533 of the family's 1533-position model. Lineage: Bacteria; Bacillati; Bacillota; Bacilli; Caryophanales; Bacillaceae. The record is from RNAcentral.
UAGGGAAUCUUCCGCAAUGGACGAAAGUCUGACGGAGCAACGCCGCGUGAGUGAUGAAGGUUUUCGGAUCGUAAAGCUCUGUUGUUAGGGAAGAACAAGUGCGAGAGUAACUGCUCGCACCUUGACGGUACCUAACCAGAAAGCCACGGCUAACUACGUGCCAGCAGCCGCGGUAAUACGUAGGUGGCAAGCGUUGUCCGGAAUUAUUGGGCGUAAAGGGCUCGCAGGCGGUUUCUUAAGUCUGAUGUGAAAGCCCCCGGCUCAACCGGGGAGGGUCAUUGGAAACUGGGAAACUUGAGUGCAGAAGAGGAGAGUGGAAUUCCACGUGUAGCGGUGAAAUGCGUAGAGAUGUGGAGGAACACCAGUGGCGAAGGCGACUCUCUGGUCUGUAACUGACGCUGAGGAGCGAAAGCGUGGGGAGCGAACAGGAUUAGAUACCCUGGUAGUCCACGCCGUAAACGAUGAGUGCUAAGUGUUAGGGGGUUUCCGCCCCUUAGUGCUGCAGCUAACGCAUUAAGCACUCCGCCUGGGGAGUACGGUCGCAAGACUGAAACUCAAAGGAAUUGACGGGGGCCCGCACAAGCGGUGGAGCAUGUGGUUUAAUUCGAAGCAACGCGAAGAACCUUACCAGGUCUUGACAUCCUCUGACAACCCUAGAGAUAGGGCUUUCCCUUCGGGGACAGAGUGACAGGUGGUGCAUGGUUGUCGUCAGCUCGUGUCGUGAGAUGUUGGGUUAAGUCCCGCAACGAGCGCAACCCUUGAUCUUAGUUGCCAGCAUUUAGUUGGGCACUCUAAGGUGACUGCCGGUGACAAACCGGAGGAAGGUGGGGAUGACGUCAAAUCAUCAUGCCCCUUAUGACCUGGGCUACACACGUGCUACAAUGGACAGAACAAAGGGCUGCGAGACCGCAAGGUUUAGCCAAUCCCAUAAAUCUGUUCUCAGUUCGGAUCGCAGUCUGCAACUCGACUGCGUGAAGCUGGAAUCGCUAGUAAUCGCGGAUCAGCAUGCCGCGGUGAAUACGUUCCCGGGCCUUGUACACACCGCCCGUCACACCACGAGAGUUUGUAACACCCGAAGUCGGUGAGGUAACCUUUAUGGAGCCAGCCGCCGAAGGUGGGACAGAUGAUUGGGGUGAAGUCGUAACAAGGUAGCCGUAUCGGAAGGUGCGGCUGGAUCACCUCCUUUCUA